This 301-nucleotide signal recognition particle RNA is filed under the name Cebus imitator (Panamanian white-faced capuchin). Its description in RNAcentral is "Metazoan signal recognition particle RNA (ENSCCAG00000011843.1)". It matches the Rfam family "Metazoan signal recognition particle RNA". Rfam says of the family: The signal recognition particle (SRP) is a universally conserved ribonucleoprotein. It is involved in the co-translational targeting of proteins to membranes. The record is from RNAcentral. Lineage: Eukaryota; Metazoa; Chordata; Mammalia; Primates; Cebidae.
GCCAGGCACAGAAGUGUGUGCCUGUAGUCCCAGCUACUUGGGAGGCUGUGGUGGGAGGAUUGCUGGAGCCCAGAGGAUGGGUUGAGCCCAGGAGUUCUGAGCUAUAGUGUGCUAUGCCAAUGGGGUGUCCACACUAAGUCUGGCAUCAAUAUGGUGACCUCCUGGGAGCACGGGACCACCAGAUUGCUUAAGGAGGGGUGAACUGACUCAUGUCAAAAACAGAGCAGUUCCAAACUCCCGUGCGGAUCAGUGGUGGACCAUGCCUGUGAAUAAUCAUUUUUGGAGUAAGACUCCCACCUCU